GACAGAGGUGGCAAGCGUUGUCCGGACUGACUGGGCGUAAAGCGCACGCAGGUGGUCUUCCAAGUGGGGUGUGAAAGCGAGCCGCUUAACGGCCCGAGGCCAUCUCAGACUGGUCGACUCGAGGGCGGCAGAGGUCGGUGGAAUUGCCGGUGUAGUGGUGAAAUGCGUAGAGAUCGGCAGGAACACCCAGGGGGAAACCAGCCGACUGGGCCGCUUCUGACACUCAUGUGCGAAAGCGUGGGGAGUGAACUGG
Molecule: ribosomal RNA, 253 nt
Filed under: uncultured prokaryote
Description: partial 16S ribosomal RNA
Rfam family: Bacterial small subunit ribosomal RNA
Source: RNAcentral